Molecule: long non-coding RNA, 904 nt
Organism: Mustela erminea (ermine)
Lineage: Eukaryota; Metazoa; Chordata; Mammalia; Carnivora; Mustelidae
Exons: 4
Source: RefSeq, a predicted model, not a curated record
UUGCCCAGUUGGGAUAGAAGUGACAAGGGCCGGUUCCCAGAUAUUGGGGGCUGCCUUCCUGGUCUUUACAGUUAAAUAAUAUUCUAGACUCUCCUUCUAUGCCCUCUCCUUGCCUCCACCCCUCCCGGGCUUGCUUCCACCCGCAGGUGGCUCCGCAGCACUGCGCCAUAGGCAGGCAACUAGAGAGGGAGGUGAGGACUGAGGAGCUUCUGGCCACGAAGGUCACUCUGGCAGUUUACCGCUGGCACUGAGAGAUUUAAGAUUUGUCUGCGGCGUUCAGAAAGCACCUUGUUCCUGUUCAGAGAUCCUAAAGAAGAAACUAAGGCCCGGGGAAAUCUCAGGAAGGCUGCGCAGUAUUGGAGGGACAGAAUGACCUUCCAGCCCUGAGUCCCUGAACAAGUCCCAUCUCAUUCCAAAAAGGAUUUAAGGAGUAUGACCAAACUCAAACACAGCUGCUUCUAUGAAACUAACUUCCACAAUUGCCAACUGUGUGAACUUGGGCAAGGUAAGUGGCUCAGAGUGGAGUUAAACUCUUCAGACUGAAAUCUGAAAAGGUGGAAGACAGAAAACUGCUGCUAAUAACGCAGUCACAACUGUGUUUGGAAUUGCCUAUUUGAGAGAGACUUAGGCUGGUAAGAAGGCCUACAGCUGAUUGGCUGGCUGGAAAAUGAAGCUAGCCGGAAGGGGGCAGUGUGCUCUGCUCAUGUCCUUCCAUUGCUUCAUCUGUGGCAAAUUUGGGGCUCUGGAGAGAUUAGAAAAGUGGAUAAAAAUGUACAAGGAUGACAAAGAAAAUGUGAUUUAUACAAGGACACCUGGCUGGCUCAGCUGGUAGGGCAUGCGACUGUUGAUCUCAGCGUUAUGAGUUCAAGUCCCAUGUUGGGUGGAGAGAUUACCUAAAAGUAAA